GGGUGAGGAGAGUAUCCUAAGGCCAGCGAGAGAACUGUUGUUAAGGAACUCGGCAAAAUGACCCCGUAACUUAGGGAUAAGGGGUGCCACCAUCAGGUGGCCGCAGAGAAUAGGCCCAAGCGACUGUUUACCAAAAACAUAGGUUUCUGCUAAGUCGCAAGACGAUGUAUAGGCGCUGACGCCUGCCCGGUGCUGGAAGGUUAAGGGGAUCUGUUAGAGCAAUCGAAGCAGUGAACUUAAGCCCCAGUAAACGGCGGCCGUAACUAUAACGGUCCUAAGGUAGCGAAAUUCCUUGUCGGGU
This 301-nucleotide ribosomal RNA is filed under the name Clostridioides difficile. Its description in RNAcentral is "bacterial LSU rRNA". It matches the Rfam family "Bacterial large subunit ribosomal RNA", at positions 1665 to 1977 of the family's 2925-position model. The record is from RNAcentral. Lineage: Bacteria; Bacillati; Bacillota; Clostridia; Peptostreptococcales; Peptostreptococcaceae.